This 515-nucleotide ribosomal RNA is filed under the name uncultured bacterium. Its description in RNAcentral is "partial 16S ribosomal RNA". It matches the Rfam family "Bacterial small subunit ribosomal RNA", at positions 28 to 523 of the family's 1533-position model. The record is from RNAcentral.
GAUGAACGCUGGCGGCGUGGAUAAGGCAUGCAAGUCGAACGAAUGGAUUAAGAGCUUGCUCUUAUGAAGUUAGCGGCGGACGGGUGAGUAACACGUGGGUAACCUGCCCAUAAGACUGGGAUAACUCCGGGAAACCGGGGCUAAUACCGGAUAACAUUUUGAACCGCAUGGUUCGAAAUUGAAAGGCGGCUUCGGCUGUCACCUAUGGAUGGACCCGCGUCGCAUUAGCUAGUUGGUGAGGUAACGGCUCACCAAGGCAACGAUGCGUAGCCGACCUGAGAGGGUGAUCGGCCACACUGGGACUGAGACACGGCCCAGACUCCUACGGGAGGCAGCAGUAGGGAAUCUUCCGCAAUGGACGAAAGUCUGACGGAGCAACGCCGCGUGAGUGAUGAAGGCUUUCGGGUCGUAAAACUCUGUUGUUAGGGAAGAACAAGUGCUAGUUGAAUAAGCUGGCACCUUGACGGUACCUAACCAGAAAGCCACGGCUAACUACGUGCCAGCCGCCGCGGUAA